RNAcentral lists this long non-coding RNA (230 nucleotides) under Homo sapiens (human). RNAcentral's name for it is "HSALNT0226215". The record is from RNAcentral. Lineage: Eukaryota; Metazoa; Chordata; Mammalia; Primates; Hominidae.
CCGGUCCGGGCAGCCUCCGGUUUAGAGGAAAAGAGAACGGAGGGCAGGGCUCGCCCAGGGAGGGCAAGGAAGGGAGCCCGGCUCCGCUGGCUCAGUCCGCGGCACCCCUGUCCCCCAGGACAGCCCCCAGGGGCCCUGGCUCGGGUGGGCCGGCGGCUGUCAGGGGCCAGAGCCCUGAUGGAUAAGCGCUGACGGCCCCUCUCCCGCGCCCCGCGCCGCUGACACCCAUC